GUUAGGUGUAGGCGCAGCGAAAGCGAGUCUGAAUAGGGCGACUGAGUAUGGUGUAUUAGACCCGAAACCCGGCGAUCUAGGCAUGACCAGGUUGAAGGUGCGGUAACACGCACUGGAGGACCGAACCGGUGAAUGUUGAAAAAUUCUCGGAUGAGUUGUGUUUAGGGGUGAAAGGCCAAUCAAGCCGGGAAAUAGCUGGUUCUCCGCGAAAUCUAUUGAGGUAGAGCGUCGGAUAUUUGCCGUUGGGGGUAGAGCACUGGAUGGAUGCGGGGGUCGCGAGAUCUACCAAUUCUAACCAAACUCCGAAUACCAACGAGUCUAGUCCGGCAGACAGACGGCGGGUGCUAAGGUCCGUCGUCAAAAGGGAAACAGCCCUAACCUACAGCUAAGGUCCCCAAGUCAUCACUAAGUGGGAAAGCAUGUGGGAGUCCCAAAACAACCAGGAGGUUGGCUUAGAAGCAGCCAUCCUUUAAAGAAAGCGUAACAGCUCACUGGUCUAAAUAAGGGUUCCUGCGGCGAAAAUGUAACGGGGCUCAAGUGAUGCACCGAAGCUUAGGGUGUGAUCGUUUACGAUCACGCGGUAGCGGAGCGUUCCGUAAGCGAGUGAAGCGGGAGGGUAACCGACCGUGGACGUAUCGGAAGUGCGAAUGCUGACAUGAGUAGCGACAAAGAGGGUGAGAUGCCCUCUCGCCGAAAGACCAAGGGUUCCUGCGCAACGCUAAUCGGCGCAGGGUGAGCCGGCCCCUAAGACGAGCCCGAAGGGGGUAGUCGAUGGGAACCACGUUAAUAUUCGUGGGCCUGGUGGUGUGUGACGGAUCGUGGACGUUGUUCAUCCUUAUCGGAUUGAAUGGGCAGCCAAGCGGUUCCAGGAAAUAGCCCCACCGUAUAGACCGUACCCGAAACCGACACAGGUGGUCAGGUAGAGUAUACCAAGGCGCUUGAGAGAAGUAUCCUGAAGGAACUCGGCAAAUUGCCUCCGUACCUUCGGAAGAAGGAGGCCCUGUCUAUGCGCAAGCACUGGCAGGGGGCACAGGCCAGGGGGUAGCGACUGUUUAGCAAAAACACAGCACUCUGCUAAGUCGGCUUCAAGACGACGUAUAGGGUGUGACGCCUGCCCGGUGCCGGAAGGUUAAGAGGAGGAGUGCAAGCUCCGAAUUGAAGCCCCGGUAAACGGCGGCCGUAACUAUAACGGUCCUAAGGUAGCGAAAUUCCUU
RNAcentral lists this non-coding RNA (1214 nucleotides) under Corchorus olitorius. RNAcentral's name for it is "Bacterial large subunit ribosomal RNA". It matches the Rfam family "Bacterial large subunit ribosomal RNA", at positions 655 to 1970 of the family's 2925-position model. Lineage: Eukaryota; Viridiplantae; Streptophyta; Magnoliopsida; Malvales; Malvaceae. The record is from Rfam by way of RNAcentral.